AAUGAUUUGUGGCUUUUCUGAAGGAAAAUGUCUUCAUUUAGCAGUCCCACACAAACUUCGGUGUGCAGAGCAUAAAAGACCCUUCAUUUCACUGAUGCCAAAUCCUUUGUGAAGACUGAGAUUGUUAGAGCCCAAAUAAACAGAAUAAAAGGUUGAAGUGACUUAUAUUGAAGUCUGCUGAUAGAAAACACAAAGAUAUCAUCUUUCUUCAAGAAAGUUCCACGGGCUGUUGCUGCUGUGGAGUAGUCUGCAGAUGUCUGUUAAGUAUACUUGAUCAAGACUGUCAUUUAAUUCUGGAUUUUCCUUUACUGAUUUUUGUCUAGAUGAUCUGUCUAUUGAUAAGAGUGGGUGGGAAAGUCACCUGCUGCUAAUAUAAUUUUAAUAUCUGAUUCCUCAUACAUAUUUUCAGAGCUCUCUUCUUAUCUUGCUCUCUCUCCCAUUGAUUACAUUAAGGCCAUCUGGUUUUUUAUUCUACAUAAUAAUAAAAUAUUUAACAUCUUAUGCUUUGAACACAGGAAAAUUGUAAGCUUUGUUAUUUAUGCAAAAGAAUGUUUAAAUAGCAGAAAAUAUACAAAUUUUGAGGAAAUUAAGUUGGAUUAUCAAGAAAAGAAAUUCUAGAAUGCACUGGUAAAGAAUACAGAGUAGAACAAAAUGAGAUAAAAUUUAAUAGAUGAGAAGCUAGAAGUUCUAUCCUCUCACAGGAUCUGA
Molecule: non-coding RNA, 708 nt
Organism: Castor canadensis (American beaver)
Lineage: Eukaryota; Metazoa; Chordata; Mammalia; Rodentia; Castoridae
Source: RefSeq, a predicted model, not a curated record